This 246-nucleotide ribosomal RNA is filed under the name uncultured bacterium. RNAcentral describes it as "partial 16S ribosomal RNA". It matches the Rfam family "Bacterial small subunit ribosomal RNA", at positions 523 to 769 of the family's 1533-position model. The record is from RNAcentral.
AUACGUAGGGGGCUAGCGUUAUCCGGAUUUACUGGGCGUAAAGGGUGCGUAGGUGGUUUCUUAAGUCAGGAGUGAAAGGCUACGGCUUAACCGUAGUAAGCUCUUGAAACUGGGAAACUUGAGUGCAGGAGAGGAAAGUGGAAUUCCUAGUGUAGCGGUGAAAUGCGUAGAGAUCGGGAGGAACACCAGUGGCGAAGGCGGCCUACUGGGCUUUAACUGACGCUGAGGCACGAAAGCGUGGGGAGC